RNAcentral lists this ribosomal RNA (1372 nucleotides) under uncultured bacterium. RNAcentral's name for it is "bacterial SSU rRNA". It matches the Rfam family "Bacterial small subunit ribosomal RNA", at positions 28 to 1381 of the family's 1533-position model. The record is from RNAcentral.
GAUGAACGCUGGCGGCGUGCCUAAUACAUGCAAGUCGAGCGAACAGAUAAGGAGCUUGCUCCUUUGACGUUAGCGGCGGACGGGUGAGUAACACGUGGGUAACCUACCUAUAAGACUGGGAUAACUUCGGGAAACCGGAGCUAAUACCGGAUAAUAUUCCGAACCGCAUGGUUCGAUAGUGAAGGAUGGUUUUGCUAUCACUUAUAGAUGGACCCGCGCCGUAUUAGCUAGUUGGUAAGGUAACGGCUUACCAAGGCAACGAUACGUAGCCGACCUGAGAGGGUGAUCGGCCACACUGGAACUGAGACACGGUCCAGACUCCUACGGGAGGCAGCAGUAGGGAAUCUUCCGCAAUGGGCGAAAGCCUGACGGAGCAACGCCGCGUGAGCGAUGAAGGUCUUCGGAUCGUAAAACUCUGUUAUUAGGGAAGAACAUACGUGUAAGUAACUGUGCACGUCUUGACGGUACCUAAUCAGAAAGCCACGGCUAACUACGUGCCAGCAGCCGCGGUAAUACGUAGGUGGCAAGCGUUAUCCGGAAUUAUUGGGCGUAAAGCGCGCGUAGGCGGUUUUUUAAGUCUGAUGUGAAAGCCCACGGCUCAACCGUGGAGGGUCAUUGGAAACUGGAAAACUUGAGUGCAGAAGAGGAAAGUGGAAUUCCAUGUGUAGCGGUGAAAUGCGCAGAGAUAUGGAGGAACACCAGUGGCGAAGGCGACUUUCUGGUCUGUAACUGACGCUGAUGUGCGAAAGCGUGGGGAUCAAACAGGAUUAGAUACCCUGGUAGUCCACGCCGUAAACGAUGAGUGCUAAGUGUUAGGGGGUUUCCGCCCCUUAGUGCUGCAGCUAACGCAUUAAACACUCCGCCUGGGGAGUACGACCGCAAGGUUGAAACUCAAAGGAAUUGACGGGGACCCGCACAAGCGGUGGAGCAUGUGGUUUAAUUCGAAGCAACGCGAAGAACCUUACCAAAUCUUGACAUCCUUUGACAACUCUAGAGAUAGAGCUUUCCCCUUCGGGGGACAAAGUGACAGGUGGUGCAUGGUUGUCGUCAGCUCGUGUCGUGAGAUGUUGGGUUAAGUCCCGCAACGAGCGCAACCCUUAAGCUUAGUUGCCAUCAUUAAGUUGGGCACUCUAAGUUGACUGCCGGUGACAAACCGGAGGAAGGUGGGGAUGACGUCAAAUCAUCAUGCCCCUUAUGAUUUGGGCUACACACGUGCUACAAUGGACAAUACAAAGGGUAGCGAAACCGCGAGGUCAAGCAAAUCCCAUAAAGUUGUUCUCAGUUCGGAUUGUAGUCUGCAACUCGACUACAUGAAGCUGGAAUCGCUAGUAAUCGUAGAUCAGCAUGCUACGGUGAAUACGUUCCCGGGUCU